UGGGGAAUUUUGCACAAUGGGGGAAACCCUGAUGCAGCGACGCCGCGUGAUUUAGAAGGCCUUCGGGUUGUAGAAAUCUUUUCUAUGGGAAGAAAAUGACAGUACCAUAGGAAUAAGGACCGGCUAAUUACGUGCCAGCAGCCGCGGUAAUACGUAAGGUCCGAGCGUUGUCCGGAAUCAUUGGGCGUAAAGGGUACGUAGGCGGGUAAGCAAGUUAGAAGUGAAAUCCUAUAGCUCAACUAUAGUAAGCUUUUAAAACUGCUCAUCUUGAGGUAUGGAAGGGAAAGUGGAAUUCCUAGUGUAGAGGUGAAAUGCGCAGAUAUUAGGAGGAAUACCGGGGGCGAAGGCGACUUUCUGGCCAUAACCUGACGCUGAGGUACGAAAGCGUGGGUAGAAAACAGG
RNAcentral lists this ribosomal RNA (402 nucleotides) under bacterium. RNAcentral describes it as "partial 16S ribosomal RNA". It matches the Rfam family "Bacterial small subunit ribosomal RNA", at positions 355 to 776 of the family's 1533-position model. The record is from RNAcentral.